GACACGGCCAGCAGCAUCAGAUGGUCUGACUCGAGAGGCACAAGGCCGUAUUCCUACAGCCAGCCUCAUGUGCCGGGUCAAUCAACAGUGCCAUCAGGAAAAGUCAUGCCGGAGGGUUGCGUGUUGGCUGGUCUCUCUUCCUAUGAAGCAGAGACGAAAGAUGGGAGCUACACGGUUAAUACAGAAAGCGCUGGCUCAGCCAAAGGGACCGAAAUAGGCCCUUGAAACAGACCUGCCACACUGUGGAUGAGCAAGAAGACGGAGGUAAAAUACGACAGCCCCAGGCCAUCUAAAGAACAGCAUAGCUGAGUGCCCGGCAUAGACUUGAGUGUGGAAAAGUGUCGUGCAAGAGAGGAAGCCUGCGUGAGAAGCCGACUCAGCCCCCAGAGCAGACUCUGCCAUCUCCUAGCUGCGGGAGGGAAGACUCUCUAGGAAACUCCCAAUACAAAGGAACAACUCUGCUUCAAAGUGUCCCGUGCAAAGCUACAUCACAGGAGAAUCUGCCUUCAACAAGGUGGCGCUUGCGGUAAAGAACCAGCGUGACUUUGCAGGAGAUGUAAGAGACUCUGAUUUGAUCCCUGGGGCAGGAAGAUCCCCUGGAGGAGAGCAUGGCAACCCACUCCAGUAUUCUUACCUAGAGAAUCCCAUGGACAGAGGAGCCUGGCGGGCUUCAGUCCAUGGGGCCGCAGAGAGUCGGACACGACCGAGCGGCUAUGCACCCAGGCUGGACAGGAAAAUCACUGAUUAGGACCUGAGAUUUCUAUAUUUAUUUAAGGUGCUCAUUUAUAAUGCUAA
This is a long non-coding RNA of Cervus elaphus (red deer), 795 nucleotides long. RefSeq lists it as uncharacterized. The transcript has 5 exons. Lineage: Eukaryota; Metazoa; Chordata; Mammalia; Artiodactyla; Cervidae. The record is from RefSeq and is a predicted model, not a curated record.